This 69-nucleotide transfer RNA is filed under the name Ujna puerana. Its description in RNAcentral is "tRNA-Gln". The record is from RNAcentral. Lineage: Eukaryota; Metazoa; Arthropoda; Insecta; Hemiptera; Cicadellidae.
UGUAAUUUGGUGAAAAAUUCACGUUAAUUUUUGAAAUUAAAGAAGGAAGUGUAAUUCUUCUAUUUACAA